RNAcentral lists this ribosomal RNA (225 nucleotides) under uncultured bacterium. RNAcentral's name for it is "partial 16S ribosomal RNA". It matches the Rfam family "Bacterial small subunit ribosomal RNA", at positions 550 to 775 of the family's 1533-position model. The record is from RNAcentral.
UUUACUGGGUGUAAAGGGAGCGUAGACGGCAGCACAAGUCUGGAGUGAAAUGCCGGGGCUUAACCCCGGCCUGCCGUUGAAACUGGCGGCCUCGAGUGGGCGAGAAGUAUGCGGAAUGCGUGGUGUAGCGGUGAAAUGCAUAGAUAUCACGCAGAACUCCGAUUGCGAAGGCAGCAUACCGGCGCCCUACUGACGCUGAGGCACGAAAGCGUGGGUAUCGAACAG